GUUGAAACCUUUCAUGAAAUAUGGUAGAAAGAAUGGAUACAACCCAACCAAAAACACAAAACAUUGAAUAAAAACAGCUGAAACCAUUUGAUAACUCAUUGUCAUUGCCAUAAUCGCUUCACCUUAAAAACAGCUUAUUGAUGUGUUGUUCCCGCCGCUCUGCCACUGCCCUCUCCACCGUACGCACAACAACAUCAUCAAAUUAGAACGGGAAAUGAAGAAAUAAACAAAACAAGAAUGGAGCAGAGGGAACUCCUUAUCAUGAUGGCCUUUUAUUUUUUGUGAAUUGUGUUUUUAAUUAUUAUCAUAAUAAUUGUGAUUACAAGCAGUCAAAACAACCGUAAAAGUCACACAUCCGGCCAUUCUAUUAGACAUCUCAAAAACUUCUUCAAACCUACCAUGCAUUCCAUAACCUCCCAUCAUCGUCGACCAAGUAAUCUCAUUCCUUUCACACAUUCCAUCAAACACUUUACGUGCAAAAACUAAACACCCACAUUUAGCAUACAUAUGUAUCAAAGCAUUCAAAUUUCUCAAAUCCAAAACAAACCCCAUUUACCAAAACAGCAUUCAAAUUUGAUUGUGCGUGCGUCGUGAACUGUUUUGAGGUUUUUUAAGUGUUUUGUGGAAUAACAUGUGUUAAGAAGUGUUGCGUAGAAUGGUAUGAGUUCAUGCGCUUUUGCCAUGAUCUUAAUUAACACCACUCACUGCGCUCAGCUAGCUUUGGCGUUUUCCUCUCUGUUUGUUGCAUUGCACACAUAAUUUGGCGUAUCUUGUUUCCAAAGUCUGUUGUACUGUCCUUAAGUCAUUAAUACAGGGUGUUGCAGUUUGGAUGCUAACAAGUAUCUUGCUGCAAGGUCUUAGAUACUUGCCAAUCAAUGUCAAAAUUCAGGGUUCCAUUCAAAUCUAUGGUUGUCACUUGUCACUGGUAGCUUUGGACAAAAAGCUCAAUAAGAUAGUUUAAAGAAUGGCACUGUUGUCUUAAUAGCGCAUCUGUCCGUUUUUUGUUAUUUCAUACUACACCUUCUAUUUAAGGGUACAUUUCACAGAAUGUUUUAGCAAAACUGAGUUUGUUGUUGCAUGAUAAAUGAGUAACAAACCUGUCAAUUUUUCUUCAUUAGUCUAGGUGUGGCUAUAUUUAAGAUCAAUGAAUGAUAUUUUUUUUCUUUCGUUUUUCUGAUAGACAGUUUGUAUGUAAUGUAAGUUGUACUAUCAUUUGUCUAAGGUAAGCUAA
Trifolium pratense (red clover) is the source of this 1231-nucleotide long non-coding RNA. RefSeq lists it as uncharacterized. The record is from RefSeq and is a predicted model, not a curated record. The transcript has 3 exons. Lineage: Eukaryota; Viridiplantae; Streptophyta; Magnoliopsida; Fabales; Fabaceae.